Molecule: ribosomal RNA, 449 nt
Filed under: uncultured bacterium
Lineage: Bacteria
Description: partial 16S ribosomal RNA
Rfam family: Bacterial small subunit ribosomal RNA
Source: RNAcentral
AGCGAACGCUGGCGGCAGGCCUAACACAUGCAAGUCGAACGGAUCCUUCGGGAUUAGUGGCGGACGGGUGAGUAACACGUGGGAACGUGCCCUUUGGUUCGGAACAACUCAGGGAAACUUGAGCUAAUACCGGAUGUGCCCUUCGGGGGAAAGAUUUAUCGCCAUUGGAGCGGCCCGCGUCUGAUUAGCUAGUUGGUGAGGUAAAGGCUCACCAAGGCGACGAUCAGUAGCUGGUCUGAGAGGAUGAUCAGCCACAUUGGGACUGAGACACGGCGCAAACUACGACGGGAGGCAGCAAUGGGGAAUAUUGCGCAAUGGGGGAAAGCCUGACGCAACCAUGCCGCGUGAAUGAUGAAGGUCUUAGGAUUGUAAAAUUCUUUCACCGGGGACGAUAAUGACGGUACCCGGAGAAGAAGCCCCGGCUAACUUCGUGCCAGCCGCCGCAGUAA